Molecule: ribosomal RNA, 902 nt
Filed under: uncultured bacterium
Lineage: Bacteria
Description: bacterial SSU rRNA
Rfam family: Bacterial small subunit ribosomal RNA
Source: RNAcentral
ACGCUGGCGGCGUGCCUAAUACAUGCAAGUAGAACGCUGAAGAGAGGAGCUUGCUCUUCUUGGAUGAGUUGCGAACGGGUGAGUAACGCGUAGGUAACCUGCCUUGUAGCGGGGGAUAACUAUUGGAAACGAUAGCUAAUACCGCAUAACAAUGGAUGACCCAUGUCAUUUAUUUGAAAGGGGCAAAUGCUCCACUACAAGAUGGACCUGCGUUGUAUUUGCUAGUAGGUGAGGUAACGGCUCACCUAGGCGACGAUACAUAGCCGACCUGAGAGGGUGAUCGGCCACACUGGGACUGAGACACGGCCCAGACUCCUACGGGAGGCAGCAGUAGGGAAUCUUCGGCAAUGGGGGCAACCCUGACCGAGCAACGCCGCGUGAGUGGAGAAGGUUUUCGGAUCGUAAAGCUCUGUUGUAAGUCAAGAACGAGUGUGAGAGUGGAAAGUUCACACUGUGACGGUAGCUUACCAGAAAGGGACGGCUAACUACGUGCCAGCAGCCGCGGUAAUACGUAGGUCCCGAGCGUUGUCCGGAUUUAUUGGGCGUAAAGCGAGCGCAGGCGGUUUGAUAAGUCUGAAGUUAAAGGCUGUGGCUCAACCAUAGUUCGCUUUGGAAACUGUCAAACUUGAGUGCAGAAGGGGAGAGUGGAAUUCCAUGUGUAGCGGUGAAAUGCGUAGAUAUAUGGAGGAACACCGGUGGCGAAAGCGGCUCUCUGGUCUGUAACUGACGCUGAGGCUCGAAAGCGUGGGGAGCGAACAGGAUUAGAUACCCUGGUAGUCCACGCCGUAAACGAUGAGUGCUAGGUGUUGGAUCCUUUCCGGGAUUCAGUGCCGCAGCUAACGCAUUAAGCACUCCGCCUGGGGAGUACGACCGCAAGGUUGAAACUCAAAGGAAUUGACGGG